UUUCGAACCUUUAGAAUAUAUUUCUUGUCUACCCAUUUUUUACAUUUAUCAACCAUAGGAUUUAGAGAAGAAUAGAAGCUUAAAGAAAAAAACAUGAGAGGAUCCAUUUUCGAAUAUAAGUCACUCAUUGUUGAAUGGAAGGAAUAUUGAGGAGGAAUCUUGCAUUGAGCCUCCGUCGAGAUCAACAGGACAUUAAUAUAUAGAUUUUACAAAUGUGUAAAAUAUAUAACUUACAGAUGUGUAAAUACAUAUAGACAUGUGUAAAUACAUAUAUAUUUUGAUGAGGUGAAAAAUCCUUUCCAAAGGGCACUGCCAAUUAAUAGUCAACUACGGAUGUUAUAUGACUAUGCUAUAAUAAAGUUAUAUACUAUAAUUUCCUUCAUGAAGAAGCACCUUUUAGCCUUUUUGAAAAGCUACACAUCCACACUGGUAAAUGAAAGUAAAUACACCAAUUCCCAAUACACGAAACGUCAAGACAAAAGAAAAAUACACAAGACAGUUCAUUUCAUGCCAUCAAAGAAUGUUUGAGAAUCAUCAUGAGGACUUGAAUGUAGCUUCAAUGGAAGACAAUGAGUGUUGAUUCCAUUUCACCCAACAACCACCUCUUGAAUAAUCACAUCACAUAUGUAUGUAUACGGUGCAUAGCGUAAAAAUGGAGCAUCUAUACGCUUUGAGAAAACAAUACGAAAGAAUUUGGGACUAAGGGGAUUCAUACCCUUUCCUCACACACAUAAUGACGGCAGCUGUUGCUUUCCCCUAACAUCGCCGCUCUCUUUUCCAAUGAUGACAUUGGUAUACACCUGAUAUCAAGGUCAUGCUAGCAAGUUAUUGGUUUGAACUAAAUUUAACCCAACACUGACCAACUCAACUUCAUGCUAGUAAGUUAUCGAUUUGAACUAAAUUUAACCCAACACUGAUCAACUCAAGGUCUUGCUAGUAAGUUAUUGGUUUGAACAAAAUUUAACCAAACACUGCCCAACGAUGUCUUGGCCUGUCAUGGACUGACACAUAAGCUGAGAAAACCCAAACUGACAACUCUACACUAAACUAAUGUGCUUAAAAGGCACCACAAAAAGUAGCAUCAAAAUGCUUCUUUCUGCACCAUUUAUGUAUAUGAAGCAUUCAGAUGUUUCUUCUGCAAAAUGUUGUUACAUUAAUCCAGGAACUACGGUAGAUGUAUAAUGUAUUUAAUUUAAUUCU
This is a long non-coding RNA of Vicia villosa (hairy vetch), 1200 nucleotides long. RefSeq lists it as uncharacterized. Lineage: Eukaryota; Viridiplantae; Streptophyta; Magnoliopsida; Fabales; Fabaceae. The record is from RefSeq and is a predicted model, not a curated record. The transcript is spliced from 3 exons.